RNAcentral lists this unclassified non-coding RNA (123 nucleotides) under uncultured Basidiomycota. Its description in RNAcentral is "sequence contains ITS1". The record is from RNAcentral. Lineage: Eukaryota; Fungi; Basidiomycota.
GAGAUUGGCCUCACGGCCGUUUUCAUCCACACACACACACCGUGAACCGUUCCCCUGCCUCUCGGGGCUUGGGACCAACCAACCAAACAUUGUCUAAAGAACGUAAACAUCGUAAACAAAACA